Molecule: long non-coding RNA, 1097 nt
Organism: Salvia miltiorrhiza (redroot sage)
Lineage: Eukaryota; Viridiplantae; Streptophyta; Magnoliopsida; Lamiales; Lamiaceae
Exons: 3
Source: RefSeq, a predicted model, not a curated record
AGCUCAAUUCAACAACCAAAUACAAAACCAUGUAAUUUUAGGGCUAGAAUCAAAAAGCGGUGCUAUCCCACAAACGCUAUUCUUCUUAAUUUUAUUUCUUCAUCAGCCGCGUGCUGUUUCUUCUUUCAUCCUUGUUACUGAUAAUCUUCUUUCUGCAGCAAUAUUGAUCCCUAAUUCCCAUCUUUUUUUGUUGUCUUCGUCGACGCCAUCGAAUAGAGUUAGCUGAAAUUAGAGGAUGUGUCCUUAAGCUUUUCGCCUCCACUGCUGCCGUUGAACGGAGUUGCAUUUUCCAACGAACACAAUCAUCCUUGUUUCGGCGCACCAAUAGGGCGCCGUGCGCCGCCCCCUUUUCAUGCCGCCGCCGCCCCCUGCUCCACAGUCGACGCCACGGCCGCCGCCUUCGCCCCAUCCAUCUCUCUCUUGAACUCACUCCGUCGUCUCUCUCCCACCUCCACCGAUUUGCCGCCGCCUUCGCCUGGACUUCCUUUUGUCCACGCCACUUACGAUGACUUGCUCGAUUCCCAUCGCGGAUGUUGCUAAAUCGAAUAUGCCAGAUAUGUGAACCGAGCCCUAGAUGUUGAUCUCGUAUGCCGGAUCGCAUAACCUGGUGGAAGACUUUUCAAGAUUUAGAUAGUCUUUCUGCAUUUGGAUCUAGCCCAUUUACUUCGCAAUUUAAACAAAAAUUGAAUUGUGGUGUUGGGAUCUUGGGCUGAAUAGCAACGGCGGAGCCUAAGAUACCCUUUUGACACUACAUUCCACAGUGAAGUGUGCCUUCGGUCAAGCAAUCGAUCGAACACUUGUCGGGCGAAAUCUGUUGGCCUCAAUUUUGUGCAUUUUUAGAUGAAAUGGGAGCUUACAGUAUGGUGACUGUGUUCAGUGGCAUUGAUAGUAAUCUGCGACUGAAUUAGUUGGAGUUGUUUCGAGGUCUUACAUGAUAGGAAUUGAAGCUGACGAAGAUGAUUGAUUUGGGUUUCUAUUCAUUGAAAAAUUGUGACUUAUUCAUUUAAAGUUGUGUUUUGUUCAUCGAAAAGGUGUGAUUGUUCAUUACAUAUUCUAUUUAUAAAUAAUACUAUUACUUAACAUUUUUAUUAUUACUA